Molecule: long non-coding RNA, 6797 nt
Filed under: Lactuca sativa (garden lettuce)
Lineage: Eukaryota; Viridiplantae; Streptophyta; Magnoliopsida; Asterales; Asteraceae
Description: long non-coding RNA (LSAT_LNC003054)
Source: RNAcentral
AUUUGUGAUGCCUUAGUCUAGGGUUUGCUGUUAUAUGUGCGUUAUGCUUUUGUGUGUAUGUGAUGAGUGAGAGUAUCUAGUUAGAACGCACAAGGGGUAAAGCUACGGGGUACAGAGGUACUUCCGAGGAUGAGCCGAGAAGGUGGAGCUACCACAGAUGGGGAGUCCUAUGUAUGCUUCAAUGCUCGAAUGCUGCUUGCUUUGUGCUUUGUGGAGUUAUCGAUGAUGGGAGUCAGCUACUAAGUGAGUAUGACGAUACUCAGGAGGUAGAGGGCUGGCAUCAUUAGGAACUCUUCAGCAGCUGAUAGCAAAGAAGUGGGAGGACAGCGGAAGGGACUAGGGAGUAAACCUAGCCAGAUGAGUGCGCUGGUAGAGUAGAGGAUUUCGCUGGAAAGCGAGCACGCGCGAUGAGAUGGGUGAAAGAGCAGGUUUAUCAGCUACUUAGGAACUCUGGGAUGGUCCGUGUGGAAAGUAUGGGUAGAUGUGGCAGGUAGUAUGGGCCCGUACUACUGAAAGCAGAGGACCCAUACUUGAUACAGGGGGCAUUCUGAAGGUCCUAAGGAACAGAUUGAGGGGUGAUGUUAUGGUUCGGAUACCAUACAUCGGAGCGGAUACAGAGUGAUGUUAUGGUCAGGGCACCAUACAUCGGAACAGAUUGAGAUAGAUGUUGUGGUUCGAGUGCUAUACAUUGGAGCAGAUUGAGGAAUGGUGCUAUGGUUCAGGUACCAUACACCGAAGCAUGUUGAGGAGGGAUGUCAUGGGAUGAGUACCAUGGUUCGUAGUGGAUGAUGCUUGUGGCUAUCUUGUUAUCCGGUUAUCGAUCGGACGAGCACGAGCGAGCGGGAUGCGAGGAUUCGCGAGAUCCGGCGUGAUGAGGUUGCUGCAUUGUUGCGGGCUGAGUCGCCAGAAUUGUUUGGGUCGAUCAGGACCACUAUGAUUGAAGUAGUUUGAUGAGCGAUAUGCGGCUUUCGCAGAGACGGCUGCCGCGGCGGUUACAGCGGCUGUAGCAACGGCAAAGAAAGGGGCUAGUCGGGGUUUUCAGUAUCGGGACUUCUAUUAUGCGAAGCCUCCCACAUUCGAUGGAGUUCAGGACUCGAUUGUUGCUAUGAGAUGGUUAUCAGACAUGGAGGGGUGUUUCUCCACGAGUUUAUGCCCUGCUGAUCAGAGGGUGGGGUGUGCUCUGAACCUGUUGAGGCUCGGGGCGAAGGAUUGGUGGAGAUUGACCACGAGGUCAUUUUCCGAUGCGCAGAGGGCUGCGGUUUCAUGGGAUCAAUUCAGAGGGAUGUUCAGUACUCGCUAUGUUCCGCGGGAUGAAAAGGAGAAAUUGGCUCGGAAGUUCCUUAAGCUGAAGCAGGAUUUGGAGUCGGUGACUGAGAGCACCGGGAUGUUUAUUGAGAGGGCGAUGUUUUGCCCUGAGUUCGCUUCGGAGCAGGCUCAGAUGUCCCGAUAUCCGAGUAUGCUCAAGGGGGGGUAUCAGACAGUUCGUGUCUGCGCAGAGGCGCGAGACCGUGUUGGUAUCGCAGGAGGCCGCCAUGUGGCGUGAGUUAGAGGUUGAGUUGCAGUUGCGUGAGAUGAGGCAGGCCCCGAUGCAGUCGCAGUCGGCGCCGAAACGGUCCAUGACCGUAGACGUUAGAAUGGGGGAUCGGAGCGGUCACACUUGUGGGAAGUGUGAGAGAGAUGGCACCGGAGCUUGUUGGCCCAGUGGUGCAUGCCGCAAGUGCGGAAAGGAGGGGCAUGGUGCACGGGAUUGUCGGCAGUCAGUGCCAAUUCGGGAUUUCAGGAUUUGUUAUCAGUGUCGGCAGGUUGGACAUUUGAGGGUCAACCGUCCACAGUUUCCUGCAGGACCGGUGCAGGCUCUAGCAUCGGCCACCUUGAGGAGUUCAGGAGGAGGACAGGAUGGAGCAGAGCCCAAGGGCUCAGGGUCGUGCUUAUCGGCUUGCGGCAGAGGGAGACGGAGCAGUGCCGGAGGCAGCUGCGGGUAUGAUGCUCUCUUGAUGUCUUGAGUAGCUUGCGUUGAUUGUGGCGUAUUGUUUGUGCUGGUGUCUGGUGUGGAUUUCGAUGCGGUAUUCGUUGUUUCGCGGGUUUGGCAUGGUUAUGGAUUGGUGCUUCAGGUUUUCGCUUGGCAUUCGUUGUUCCCUGAUGGUUUAGUAUGAUUAUAGUUUGGUGUUUUGGUACCGGUAGCCUUGUGCGGUUUUCGAUGCGAUAUUCAACCUUUGGCAGGUUGUGGGUUUGGUUAUGGGUUAUUGCUUGGGAAUUCCGUUGGUCAUCGUUCGUGAGGGUUGAUAGUGGAGAUGCGGCACUGGGUUGAAUGACGGGUAGCAUCUGCAGUUGUGGAGUGGAUAAUUGAAAGAUCGGAUUCUUUUGAGCGGAUUGAUCAGGGAGGAGAUGUGUUUUGCUGAGGGUUGCUUACGCUUGUGGGAAGCAGUCAGUGGGUAAAUGUUCUCUUUGUGCAGGAUGGUUCUGAAAGGUCGUUAAUGACGAUCGGUGGCAGUUAGUCAGUGCUUUAGUGGGGGAGAAUUGUAAAAUUCUCCGGGAGAUCGAUGAGUAUGUAAGGGUGCUUAGCUGUUGGGAUUCAGCAGUGUUUGUCAGCGCAAAGUAUAGGCCGACGAGAGCGAGUGUUGGGUAUGCGGGGCGAGAUACAGACCUAGGGCAUUUGAUUGUGGAGGCCUGAGAGGAGGUCGGGAUCAAGCUUGAGUAAGUAAUCGGAAUUUUGCGAUCAGAGUAUUGGUACGUUUGAGGUACGUGAUGGGUUGUACUGCAUUAAUCCCACGGGAUUAUGUUGUGCAUGUUUCUAGAGCUGGAACCGGAAGGUUCCCAGAGUUAGAACCUGAGGGUUCGCAGAGUUUGGGUGUACGGACCCACAGAGAUAUAGCCUCGAGUGGCUAGUAUGUGUUAUGAGAGUCGGUCCAGUCAUACUGGAGACUCUGUUGGUAUUGCUGGAUUAGUUUGAGAUUUGCGGAUCGCGUAUGUUGCAGUGUGAUUGCAUUGGAAGGUCUGGCCCCGGGUUAUUGAUCUUGUUUAGCGGAGGCAGUGAUUUUGAUGAGUGGAGAGAGUGCAUGGGAUUGAGAGCCCCUGCAAUGAGAACCAGAGUAUGUGAAUAGCAGUUACGCAAAAAGGGUGGUGUCGCUUGGGGCGAGCACCGUGGCACCGGUUGGAGUGGCAUUAUGUUCAAGAGAGUUCCGUGGAAAAGGAAAAGAGGAGGGUAUGUAACUCCGAAGGGGGUGCAAGUUCACGAAAGUGAAAGCUGCAGAGCAGAGUUAUGGUUAGAGUAUUUCGAGUAUGGUUUUGAGCAUCGUGUUCGCGGCAGUGGAGUAGGAACCCAUCCGGUUGGGAUGUCUGUUGAGGCUCAGAAGGGAUGCAUGGAGAGAGAAAAUUUUAAAUUCUCAGUGUGAAUCUGAUCAGAGUGUAGGGUGGAUGUAGUGGUUCAUCUUGGGAGAUGUUCGAGGAUAUCAUCAGUGUAUCGGGUCUUCCAACCUACGGGUGUUGGGGCUAGUUCAGCAUGUGUAUAUGAUGGCAAGAGGAGAAUUUGUGAGAGUUACUCUGGGAGUGAGAAUGGAUCUCUCAGUUGGUCUGGGAUGGACAAAGUGGGCUUUGGAUCGGGGAUCCGGUGGUUCAGGGCUUCCUAACCCUUAUUGGUCGAGUGAUUGUUGGGGUUUAAGAGCAGAGUUGCAUCUUGGGUGGUUCUCGGUUACAGAGAGAGAUGGACAGUACAGAGUUUGGGCUUCAGUCGACAGAGCAGACUCAGCAGGUUAAGGAGAGUUAGUGAUCGUUUAGAGUUAACAGGAAAGUUAUGCAGGCAGACGCCGUUACGAGUAUGUGAUUCAGGUCAGCGACUUCGUAUUUCUGACGGGGUGCUUCGAUUUAGGAAGAGGGGUAAAUGGGGGGCCCCGGUAUGUUGGGUCUUUUCGUGAAGGUGCGAAGGUAGGAAGGGUGGCCUAUCGUUUGGAGCUGUCAACGGAAUUGGGACGGAUCCAUGACACUGGUAUGUGUCGCAGUUGAAGAGGUGUAUAGCGGAUGAGUCAGCAGUGGUUCUACUAGAGAACGAUUAGGUGGAUGCGAGCCUGUGUUACGUCGAGAGGCCAGUGGCCGUCGGAGAUCGGAAGAUCAAGGUUCUGAGGAACAAGGAGGUACCUCUGGUAUUGGUUCAGUAGCGACCUCGGAAGAUAUCGGAAGUGUUUAGGGAAGCCGAAACGUGUGAUGCGGGAGCAGCAUCCAGAACUAUUUUCAGAGUGAGACUUCGAGGGCGAAGUCUAAUUCUAGUGGGGGAGAAUUGUAACAGCCCAAAAUCUCAAGUAUUGUUAAAUUGCAUUUUGGGGUGUUUUAAAGGGGAGACUCGGCGAGUUGGAGCCAGACUCGCCGAGUAGGGUCGCAGAUUUGGUCGCGGGUUCGCGACUGGACUCGACGAGUCCAGGUAUGGACUCGGCGAGUCGACGCUGUUCAGCAGAAACCCUAGCCGUUUCGUAUUGGGUCGUAUUUAAGGGUUGUAUGUCGUCAUUUCACGUCUUUUGGCCGAUUGUGGAGAACCCUAGACGACUGUGGCAUUUGGAGCAAAACUUGAAGGCCAUUAUUGACUUUGAAGGAAUUGUGGUGCAAGAAGAGGAAGGAUUUUGGCCAAAGGAAGAGCAAGGGGGUCGAGUUCUGAGGUUUGGGGACACAGAGAGUACGUUUUCAGGUUAUGUUUCGGAUCAUUCCUGUUAUUUUGAUGUGUACACGAAUUUAGGGUUUAUGAAACCCAUUUGGAGAUUUGAUGGAUUAUUAUGUUGUUAUACAAAGGUUUCUACCCUAGUAAUAGGAUGAUUAGAGGUCCAGAAGUCCCAUGAGUGUGUAUCUCGGGAAAAACGUAUCUCAGGAAGCAGUUGGAUCGACUGCAUGGCGUGGACUCGCCGAGUCGGAUGAUCAGACUCGGCGAGUAGCUUGAAGAUUCACUGGGACUCGCCGAGUUGUUCUUCAGACUCGGCGAGUGGAGUCGGGGUGGCCCCGCGAUUCUUCCAGGAGUGACUCGUCGAGUCAAAGAGGAUACUCGACGAGUAGAAGGGGAAUCUCAGAGGAUUGAAGGACGACCAGACUCGCCGAGUCGCCAGGGAACUCGCCGAGUCCAGUCGAGCUGACAAUGGACUGUUGACCAGAGUUGACUGGUGUGAUUUCUUAGGGUCAGUUAACGUGGAAGAUAGAAGUAUUAAAUAAGGGAUAUAUGAUGUUACAGGGAGCUUGUAGCUCGGAGGAUCAAGUGCAAGGGAUUUUAGGAGUUGCUAUCUUCUAGUGUCCGCGAGGUGAGUCUUCUCACUAUACCUCACCCGGAAGGGUUUGAUUGUGUGACCGGAAGGUCAAGUAUGUUAUGUGUUAUGUUUAUAUGCUAUAAAUGGAAAGUUAGCUGCUACGCGUGAUAUACAUGCUUAUAUAUGGGCCGGAAGGCAAGGUAUUAUGUGACAGAAAGGUCAGGUAUGAUAUAUGAUAUAUGUGCUUUAUGUGUUAGAGUAUUUGUAUUAUGUGUUAUAUAUGUGUAUGGGCCGGAAGGCAAUUAUCUUAUGGGCCGGAAGGCGAUAUUUAUUGUGGACCGAAAGGUCCGGGCCGGAAGGCAAUGUUAUGUGGACCGAAAGGUCCGGGCCGGAAGGCAAUGUUAUGUGGACCGAAAGGUCCGGGCCGGAAGGCAAUGUUAUGUGGACCGAAAGGUCCGGGCCGGAAGGCGUAUGUGCGUAAGGUAUAUUGGGGAACUCACUAAGCUUCGUGCUUACGUUGUUUAUGUUAUGUUGUUUCAGGUUCUUACAGUAACGCGGGAUGGCAACGGUUCGAUUGUACACACCGAAGAAAGAGUUGUGUUUUGGAGGAUCCUGGUCUUCUAUUAUAAUGAAAAUGAAACUAUGUUUUGUAAUUCGAAUGUGAAUAAGAUUUUAAACAAGUGUUUUUAAUAUUAAAUUGAUUAAUUAAAUGAAAAUUUUGUUUUUGGAAAUCAUGGUGUUACAAAUUGGUAUCAGAGCCUUGGUUUGAGGGAUUCGGACGCGCCUACGGGUAAAUCUGGACUCAAACUGAGGAAGUAAGAAAAAGUUUUCCAAAUAAAUGGUUUUCUAAAAGUGAAUAAGAGUUCAAAGAGAAAGCAAGAAAGAGCAGUGUGUACAAUCAGCCAGAGCCAAACGGUGAUUUCCCAAAAUACCCUUACUUUUGUAUUAUGAAAUAUCUAUUAUGCACUUUAUGAGACAUUAUUGCAUGCUAGAGACAGGCUAGGUAUUUCACAUCUUAGGACUAGAGUGGCCUGAUUUGUGAUGCCUUAGUCUAGGGUUUGCUGUUAUAUGUGCGUUAUGCUUUUGUGUGUAUGUGAUGAGUGAGAGUAUCUAGUUAGAACGCACAAGGGGUAAAGCUACGGGGUACAGAGGUACUUCCGAGGAUGAGCCGAGAAGGUGGAGCUACCACAGAUGGGGAGUCCUAUGUAUGCUUCAAUGCUCGAAUGCUGCUUGCUUUGUGCUUUGUGGAGUUAUCGAUGAUGGGAGUCAGCUACCAAGUGAGUAUGACGAUACUCAGGAGGUAGAGGGCUGGCAUCAGUAGGAACUCUUCAGCAGCUGAUAGCAAAGAAGUGGGAGGACGGCGGAAGGGACUAGGGAGUAAACCUAGCCAGAUGAGUGCGCUGGUAGAGUAGAGGAUUUCGUUGGAAAGCGAGCACGCGCGAUGAGAUGGGUGAAAGAGCAGGUUUAUCAGCUACUUAGGAACUUUGGGAUGGUCCGUGUGGAAAGUAUGGGUAGAUGUGGCAGGUAGUAUGGGCCCGUACUACUGAAAGCAGAGGACCCAUACUUGAUACAGGGGGCAUU